ACUACUAUAAUGCACCAGUUUUGAAUUCAAAUUUUCAAUCCCGUCUCAUGUUCCCGCCAUGCAAUGAAGAACCACUUUUGACCAUUGAUUUUAAGGCGUGUGUUGCUAUCCACCGUACAUCAUCAUGUGUUGUCAAAAUCGAACGGCUGUAAUCCACCGGAUUCGCUCCUACUGUUCUCCCGCUCCUCCCGCGCGCUGGAACCUGGAAGCCGCUCAGCCCUUCGAGAUAGCUCCACAACCUUGCUUAUCAUAUUUUAUUCUCAAAAUGAUUGCCGGCCGCGCCCGCGCUCCAGUACCAGAUAUACUCAAUUCAUUCUUCCCGCGUACGGCACAAAACGCACCCACUCUUUGACUCUGCUGUGCUUCCGGCCUUCCGUCGCCUGCAUCUCGACGCUCACAUCCGACUAAAGCUCUACUUCCAUCGCCUUGCUAAAGUAUUACCCGCUUGGUUGCAUCUCCUAUCUGCAGUGUUGCAUAUCCAGAUUGGCUCCUCUUGACUUGGCUCUUUCCGGCGGCGCUGUCGUGUACGUACGUACGUAUACGAUCCGUAUACACCCAAGCCCGCCCUGCACAAGGCACGUUACUGGUGUGGAAAUCCAACACUGCAGGAGGAAACCACAUAUGUCUCCAGCUCGAAAUCAUCAUAUGGUUCAACCAAGCGGUGAUGUAUCAAUGGAUGCUUCUUAACGUAAACGAUACCGUGAUCGGGUUAGGUACAUGCAGAUGACAUCGGAUCAGAGAGAAAUGUAUUUGCAGAGGAAUCGGGAGUACAAACGAAUGAAGCAAGUUUCCAGUGCAAGUAGUAGCAAUGCACAAUGCGUAACAGGGGAUACCAGUAUGAAUACCCAUGGCAACCUCCACUUGCCAACUGAAUCUUCUAGAAUGAUAGAAGGUAAAGAAAUAGCAGUCACUCUGUUACAAGAAGAAGAUUUUCCAUCUUCAAGCUCUACAGUUCAAUGAUCCAUCAACCAAGGUGUUCAGCAAAGAGGAAACGAGUUACCGCAGUUGGUAGUUUCGAUGUGUCAGCAUCUGAACAACACAUCCUUCUUCAUCCAAAUAUGUGCCGCCCGAAUAAUGGUACUCGAAUGAAGAUCAGUCCAUCUGGAGUAUAUGUAUCUUCUAUUUCUUCAGAAAAUCAAGCUGCAGCCAAUGCACAAAUAUAUCACAGAAUUAGUGGCCAUGGUGGACGUAAGAUCCGAUGCACCACUAGCUGCUAUUCCCAGUUGACACCUGAACAAGGAGAGACACACUUGCAAACAAGCCGUGAGUACAAGAGAAGAAGAAAGUCUCAAGGAGUAAGUUCGAAUGGUUUACACCAUACACCUGAUGGAGUAUUUAUUAGCAAUGAACGUAUAACUGGACGUACUCCUGUGAAGCUACAA
This is a non-coding RNA of Lolium perenne, 1382 nucleotides long. The record is from RefSeq and is a predicted model, not a curated record. Lineage: Eukaryota; Viridiplantae; Streptophyta; Magnoliopsida; Poales; Poaceae.